RNAcentral lists this unclassified non-coding RNA (575 nucleotides) under Hevea brasiliensis (rubber tree). The record is from RNAcentral. Lineage: Eukaryota; Viridiplantae; Streptophyta; Magnoliopsida; Malpighiales; Euphorbiaceae.
GGACACAGCUGGUCAAGAAAGGUAUGCAGCUCUUGCACCAUUAUACUACCGAGGUGCUGCAGUUGCAGUGGUUGUGUAUGAUAUAACUAGUCCUGAGUCUUUUGCCAAAGCACAAUACUGGGUCAAGGAACUGCAAAAACACGGGAGCCCUGAUAUAGUCAUGGCUCUGGUUGGCAACAAAGCCGAUCUCGACGAGAAAAGAGAAGUAACGACACAAGAUGGAAUUGACUGUGCUGAAAAGAAUGGCAUGUUCUUUAUAGAAACAUCUGCUAAGACAGCUGAUAAUAUCAACCAGCUGUUUGAGGAAAUCGCGAAGAGAUUGCCACGCCCUACUGUUGCUUGACCAUCAAGAUUAUGCUAAUUGCUACUGUACUGCCUGUAAUACUAUGUAUAUGAGGUCAUUCUCAGUCUCUUUUUCUCUGCAGUACUCUCUCUUGUUACGUUUCCUGAUCUCGUGAUCGCGAUCCUCUUCAACGAGGCAUCCUGAUAUAUAUAUAUAUAUAAACUGUGAGAAUUGAGGAGACUAAUUAACUCACUUCAACUUUGUGAAAGUUUGAAAUAUUUGAAUGGUUCAG